GUAUGCAAUCCACCUGUAACAGGGGGAUAACCCGGAGAAAUCCGGACUAAUACCCCAUAAUAUGGGCGCUCCGCAUGGAGAGCCCAUUAAAGAGAGCAAUUUUGGUUACAGACGAGCAUGCGCUCCAUUAGCCAGUUGGCGGGGUAACGGCCCACCAAGGCGACGAUGGAUAGGGGUUCUGAGAGGAAGGUCCCCCACAUUGGAACUGAGACACGGUCCAAACUCCUACGGGAGGCAGCAGUGAGGAAUAUUGGUCAAUGGUCGGCAGACUGAACCAGCCAAGUCGCGUGAGGGAAGACGGCCCUACGGGUUGUAAACCUCUUUUGUCGGAGAGUAAAGUACGCUACGCGUAGCGUAUUGCAAGUAUCCGAAGAAAAAGCAUCGGCUAACUCCGUGCCAGCAGCCGCGGUAAUACGGAGGAUGCGAGCGUUAUCCGGAUUUAUUGGGUUUAAAGGGUGCGUAGGCGGCACGCCAAGUCAGCGGUGAAAUUUCCGGGCUCAACCCGGAGUGUGCCGUUGAAACUGGCGAGCUAGAGUGCACAAGAGGCAGGCGGAAUGCGUGGUGUAGCGGUGAAAUGCAUAGAUAUCACGCAGAACCCCGAUUGCGAAGGCAGCCUGCUAGGGUGCGACAGACGCUGAGGCACGAAAGCGUGGGUAUCGAACAGGAUUAGAUACCCUGGUAGUCCACGCAGUAAACGAUGAAUACUAACUGUUUGCGAUACAAUGUAAGCGGUACAGCGAAAGCGUUAAGUAUUCCACCUGGGGAGUACGCCGGCA
This 776-nucleotide ribosomal RNA is filed under the name uncultured bacterium. RNAcentral's name for it is "bacterial SSU rRNA". It matches the Rfam family "Bacterial small subunit ribosomal RNA", at positions 117 to 890 of the family's 1533-position model. The record is from RNAcentral.